AGACACGUGGGAGGCAGCCAUGUAGGUGAACACUGCAGCUCACACCUGCCCUGUGUCCUCCGUGGGUGACACCCGGCGGUCCACACCUGAAGCCCUGAUGCCUGGGGGUUCUCUAGAUGUCUGGGGACUGCGUCUAUUCAGCCCGUGCCCCCUGUGCUAUGGUGAAUUUCCCAUUCUCCCUUGUGGGGAGAAUGAAGAAGUCAUGUGACAAACUUCUGACCAAAGGAGCAAAGAUUGGCACCCCACUGGAAGGUCAACGCAGCUUCUUCAGCCUCUGAUGUAGACUGAAGACCAACAAUCCUACAGAAAGCUUCCGGCCUUCUGACACUAAGCUAGGGCUACUGAGACCUCCAGGCCCGGGGUAUCGCUUCCCAGAGAACCCAACACGCAGGCAGUUGUUGGGCUACAAGGCUGUACCAUUCCAUAUUCUGAAUUCCACAUCCCCAGAUUCAAACAGCUAUGACUGUGAACAGUCAGCCACACACCUCGAUCAUAGACUGGCCUCUCCCUUGGCGCCCGGCAAACAAUACAAGAUCAGUGCUGGUUCCAUGAUGCGUACAGCACCUAGAGAAACCUGAAGUUUUCCAGACCGCCCCGCUGCCAUGGCAACAGCAGGAGAAACAAACAAAGCUCACAUCAAGCGACUGAACACAAAGCCUGUACCAUUAUUUUAACAAUCAGCAAUGGCCGUGUGAGAGCAGCAGGCUUUCAGGGCACCGCCACCAACGUGUCUCUCUUGAGAUGCCUUGAAGUGCUCACCGACACGUGGGCGCCUUGGCACUCAGAUCAUGUCUCCAGCUUGGAGUUCCCACUUGUAUAGACCCUUACUGCUGACAGCAGUCACCAAUUCCUGGGCUUGGGAAGCCAGGUGGCCAAAUGGUUAGAGGCUCCAGCCUCAGGCCAAGCAGCCCUGGGUGCAAAUCCAAGCCCUGCACCUUCCAAGCUGGGGAUGGAAGAAAGGGCAGCACUGGUACAACUACAUCUCCCUGCUG
This 992-nucleotide long non-coding RNA is filed under the name Mus pahari (shrew mouse). RNAcentral's name for it is "lncRNA (MGP_PahariEiJ_G0005304.1)". Lineage: Eukaryota; Metazoa; Chordata; Mammalia; Rodentia; Muridae. The record is from RNAcentral.